This 494-nucleotide ribosomal RNA is filed under the name Halomonas sp. M5-C7. Its description in RNAcentral is "bacterial SSU rRNA". It matches the Rfam family "Bacterial small subunit ribosomal RNA", at positions 1 to 492 of the family's 1533-position model. The record is from RNAcentral. Lineage: Bacteria; Pseudomonadati; Pseudomonadota; Gammaproteobacteria; Oceanospirillales; Halomonadaceae.
UAGAGUUUGAUCAUGGCUCAGAUUGAACGCUGGCGGCAGGCCUAACACAUGCAAGUCGAGCGGAAACGAUGGAAGCUUGCUUCCAGGCGUCGAGCGGCGGACGGGUGAGUAACGCAUGGGAAUCUGCCCGAUAGUGGGGGAUAACCUGGGGAAACCCAGGCUAAUACCGCAUACGUCCUACGGGAGAAAGCAGGGGAUCUUCGGACCUUGCGCUAUCGGAUGAGCCCAUGUCGGAUUAGCUUGUUGGUGAGGUAAUGGCUCACCAAGGCGACGAUCCGUAGCUGGUCUGAGAGGAUGAUCAGCCACAUCGGGACUGAGACACGGCCCGAACUCCUACGGGAGGCAGCAGUGGGGAAUAUUGGACAAUGGGCGAAAGCCUGAUCCAGCCAUGCCGCGUGUGUGAAGAAGGCCCUCGGGUUGUAAAGCACUUUCAGUGGGGAAGAAAGCCUUGGGAUUAAUACUCCCGAGGAAGGACAUCACCCACAGAAGAGCCG